RNA transcript from Daucus carota subsp. sativus, 4124 nucleotides. RefSeq lists it as uncharacterized. The record is from RefSeq and is a predicted model, not a curated record. Lineage: Eukaryota; Viridiplantae; Streptophyta; Magnoliopsida; Apiales; Apiaceae. The transcript has 10 exons.
GGGUUGACUCGUUCACAAAUCAUCUAUAACCCGUUCACUUAUUAUUUCUCCCACUCAAUUUCCCAAUCUCCGAUCACAACCACGGCGAUCUCUCCCCCCUCUCUCUACAAUGGAAGAAUACCCGGAAGAGCUCCGUACGCCGCCGGUAGCGCUCGUCUCUCUCGUCGGCUGCUCCGAUCUCCACGCCUCGAUCCUCACGCAUCUCCACACCGAACAACCUCCAAUCCACACUCUCGCAUUGCCUGAUUUCUCCAAAAUCUCUCUAUUCGCGAAGGCUCAUAAAGAAAGAACAUCGAUGUCAGCGCCGCCGGUUGGUGUGUUGAAGAAAGAUUGGCUUCUUAAGCAUCGGACUAAGAUUCCGGCUGUUGUCGGCGCUCUUUUUAGCUCUGCUCAUAUCUCAGGUGAUCCUGCUCAGUGGCUUCAGGUCUGCACUGAACUCGAGAAUCUCAAAGUUGUGAUUCAAGGGCGGAACAUCAAAUUGCUUUUGAUUGUUGUUGUACGGUCAAGUUUACUUGACAUAAGUGAAGACCGAAUGAUUUCUUUGCGCAAGCGCGCCGAUGUGGAUUCCAAGUACGUUAUUAACUUGGUCCUGGAUGAUGGGUUAGAACUAAAAAAAUCCCUAAUUAGAUUAGGGAGCACAUUUGCAGAACUAACAAAUGUCUAUUAUCGGGACGAAGGACGAAGGGUAAAAGCACGAAUUGAAAGGAAAAACUUUAGUUCUGUAGAGUUGAAUAUUCGCUAUUGCUUUAAGGCUGCUGUAUAUGCAGAAUUUCGUAGAGACUGGGUUGAAGCAUUGAGGUUUUACGAAGAUGCCUAUCGUGUGCUACGGGAGAUGAUCAGGAUAUCAACAAGAAUGCCACCAAUUCAACGCUUAGUCGAGAUUAAAUUUGUUGCAGAGCAUUUGAACUUCAAAAUAUCAACCUUGCUAUUGCAUGGCGGGAAGAUUACAGAAGCAAUUAUGUGGUUCCGUCGGCACAAUACUGCUUACAGCAAGCUUGUGGGUUCUACAGAAGUAACUUUUCUUCAUUGGGAAUGGCUGAGCAGACAGUUUUUAGUUUUUGCUGAACUACUCGAAACAAGUUCAGCGGCAGCACACAGUAUCUCUUCUCCAGUUGUUUCCGGCGCUGCUGAUAAGCCAACCGAGUGGGAGUUCUAUCCCUCUCACUACUAUCAGUCAGCUGCUCAGUAUUUGAUGGAGAAGAGAGCCUGUCUGGAACUUGGGUUAUCUAUGUUGGACAGUAGCAAUGAUGUUGACGGGAAUGGUGACUCUGUGGUACCUUCUGCUUAUGUCGGUCAGUUUGCCCGUUUACUUGAGCACGGGGAUACAUUUGAAAUGCAACCACUAACUGAUGAAGAAUACACUCGUUAUGCUCUAUCUGAAGGGAAAAGAUUCCAGGAUUCCUUUGAAAUCAUUGCUCUGUUGAAAAAAUCAUAUGAAGCAUACAAAAACAUGAAAGCCAAUAGACUUGCCUCUUAUUGUGGGUUCCAGAUGGCUAGAGAACAUUAUAAUUUGAGUGAAUAUGAUAAUGCAAUACAACUUUUCAGUGAAGUUGCAAAUCUUUACAGACAAGAGGGCUGGAUUGAUUUGUUAUGGGAGGUCUUAGGAUAUCUACGAGAGUGCUCAAGGAAAGUUGGCUCGGUGCAAGGUUUUAUAGAGUACUCACUUGAAAUGGCUGCACUCCCAGUUUCAACUAUAGCUGGCCCGAGGUCUUUUAAAGAUUGUGGACCAGCUGGUCCUGCAACUCUACCACAGAGGGAAGUGAUACACAAAGAAGUCUUUGGGCUUAUCAGAGAAGAUUCAGAAAUUCCAUCAAGCAAAGAUAAUAGUAUUCUCCAAAUUAGUGGUGAUUGUCCUGUUCAUCUUGAGAUUGAUCUUGUCAGUCCUCUUAGAGUGGUCCUUCUUGCCUCAGUUGCUUUUCAUGAACACAUAGUAAAGCCUGAUGCACCAACAUCUAUUACAAUGUCGCUCCUGUCACAAUUACCCCAUACUGUUGAAAUUGACCAGUUAGAGAUCCAGUUCAAUCAAUCUGAGUGUAACUUCAUCAUUGUGAACGGUCAGAGGCUUCAAUCAGCCGCAAUAUCCAAUAUUCAACCAGGUCAUCGAGUAGAGACUGCUCCUUGUUUAUCACUUGCGACAAACAAAUGGCUGAGAUUGACUUAUGACAUAAAAUCUGAACAAAGUGGUAAGCUUGAAUGCAUUUACGUCAUUGCAAGAAUUGGAACCCGUUUCAGUAUAUGUUGCAGAGCGGAGAGCCCUGCCUCGAUGAAUGAUUUACCACUUUGGAAGUUUGAGGACCGAGUGGAAAGUUUUCCGACCAAGGAUCCCGCUCUUUCAUUUUCUGGUCAAAAGGCUACUCAGGUUGAAGAAGCAGAGCCUCAAGUAGAUCUUAAAUUAGGUUCCAGUGAAGGGUACUCAGGCGUGGCACUGGUUGGAGAGAGCUUUAUUGUUCCAGUGACUGUUGCUUCCAAAGGUCAUUCUGUGUACUCAGGUGAGAUAAAAAUAAACCUGGUGGAUACUAGAGUAGGUGGCUUGAUGAGUCCAAGGGAAGAAGAGCUGUUUUCAACAGAUGACCUUCAUGUUGAGCUUCUUGGGAUAUCUGGACAAGAUGAAUCUGAGACAGACACUGACAAAAUUAGAAAAAUCCAGCACUCUUUUGGAUUGAUUUCUGUUCCAUUCUUGAAUGAUGGAGAUUCAUGGUCCUUCAAUCUUGAAAUCAGAUGGCAUCGCCCCAAAUCAGUCAUGCUUUAUGUGUCAUUAGGUUAUUCUCCUCAGAAUAUUGAACCUGCAGCACCAAAAGUUCAUGUUCACAGAAACUUGCAGAUUGAUGGCAAAAUUGCUGUAGUAAUUAGCCAUCGCUAUAUGUUACCCUUCCGACGGGAUCCUCUCUUGCUUUCAACAAUCAAACAAGUUGAUUCCGAUCAGUUGACGUCAUUGCCCAUGAAUGAGACUAGUAUGCUCAUAGCAGUAGCUAAGAACUGCGCCGAAGUGCCAUUGCAGCUUUUGUCAAUGACUAUCGAGGUAGAGAAUGUUGAAAUGGCAAAAUUAUGCACUAUUCGAGAAGGAUGUCAAGAACUUGGGAAUCCUGCACUCCUUGUGCCAACAGAAGAGUUCAAGAAGGUAUUCACUAUCACUCCUGAAUUAAAUCAUCCAAAUUUCAAGAUAGGUACACUGUGUUUGAGAUGGAGAAGGAUAUUGGAACCAGGAGAAAUAUCUGAUUCUUCAUCUACUGCACCUGAGGUUGUGACCAGAUACAGACUUCCUGAUGUGAAGGUGGAGUUGCCUCCAUUGAUCGUGAGUUUGGAGUGUCCUCCUCAUGCAAUCCUUGGCAAUCCAUUUACGUAUUUUGUCAUAAUAAAAAAUCAAACAGAAUUGCUACAAGAGAUUAAGUUCUCAUUGGCAGAUUCACAAAGCUUCGUGUUAUGUGGGCCACACAAUGACACAAUUUUCGUUCUGCCAAAAUCGGAGAAGAUUCUUAGUUACAAGCUUGUACCAUUGGUCUGUGGUUCUCAACAGCUUCCCCGCGUCACUGUAACAUCUUCAAGAUAUGUGACUGGGUUCCAACCUUCCAUUGCUGCAUCCACAAUUUUUGUAUUCCCUUCUACACCUCAUUUUGAGUUGAGUGACAAUGCAGGGAAGGUUAAAGAAAUCAGUUGCAGCUGAGUACAGUCAAGCUAUGUCCUGCAGUUUGGUUAUGGAAUUAUCCCCGAGAAAGUUUUUGAUUUGUAAGAUACUUUUCAUACGAAAGCCUUUUGGCGGGAAAUUUAAAAUGCCUGAACAGAAUUAUCAAUGUGAAGUUAUCAAGGUAUUUGCUCGGAAUUCUGGAUUUGAAUUAGAGGACAGUGCACUACUCAUGUAGUAUAAUGCAGGUUACUCAGGCCCAUGGAAAAGCCAGCAGUUUGUAUACAAAAUAGUUGAUAGUUCUUUUUCUUUAGUAUUCAAAGUUUUUGUUGUGAUUAUAUAUUUCCUGCAGUUGCCCAUCGAGAAAAGUAUUACUAAGCGCUUGCAAACAAAUUUGUUAAGAGUUCUGAAUACAAAAACAUCCUAUUAGUGAGGGAAUUGCACAUUACUUUCUGUAGUAACAACAAUUAAUAACACAUUAUGAAUUGGGGGCACUUCAUUACUA